UACGAAGGGGGCUAGCGUUGCUCGGAAUCACUGGGCGUAAAGGGUGCGUAGGCGGGUCUUUAAGUCAGGGGUGAAAUCCUGGAGCUCAACUCCAGAACUGCCUUUGAUACUGAAGAUCUUGAGUGCGGGAGAGGUGAGUGGAACUGCGAGUGUAGAGGUGAAAUUCGUAGAUAUUCGCAAGAACACCAGUGGCGAAGGCGGCUCACUGGCCCGAUACUGACGCUGAGGUGCGAAAGCGUGGGGAGCAAACAGG
RNAcentral lists this ribosomal RNA (253 nucleotides) under uncultured bacterium. RNAcentral describes it as "partial 16S ribosomal RNA". It matches the Rfam family "Bacterial small subunit ribosomal RNA", at positions 524 to 776 of the family's 1533-position model. The record is from RNAcentral.